CAGGUGGGUGAUGGCUUCUGCUCCCCGCCACACUUUGUUAGUCCCUGCCAGGUGGCCCACGCCACCAGCCAUCAGCCUCCUGGGAGCUGCUUCCUGCUUGCCGACAACCAGGGCUUGUUGAGAAGAGGGAGAUGAGUCAGCAGAUUUGCCCAGCAUGAGGCUGGCCUGGUGCCAGCAUGUUGCCCUGCCUGGCUUCCACCUCCCAACUCCAUCAGUAACUGGCCAGCUGGGGUCAAGCCACUUCUCAGUUCCGGAAAUGAACUCAUUCCCUUUGGCUCCUGGGGAGACAGACAGCGGGCCAUGGGGGGCUGGUCUGAGGAAGGGCUGCCUCCUCCCCAGGACCUUGGGGAAAGGGGUUGGGGGCCUGGGCAUUGUGCGAGGAUCCCUGACUCACCCAUCUGACUCCACCUUUCAGGAAGGGCAGCUCCUGAUACGGCCCUUUUGCAGCCUGGGAGACCAGGGCUUCCUCCCACAGCUUUCUCGGCAAUAGCCGCUGCUCCAUCUGUGCCUCUUCUUGGCUGAGGUCCACAACUACCAAAGCCAGAUGUCUGAAGAAUUAAACGAUACUUCAGGCUCUUCAAGAAUCAGCUGGGGAGCUGACUAGAGUGGACGCUCUCCAUGCUUGGGGAGCGGGGGGGCCCUUGAGCCUUGUUUGGCGUGGUGCUCCUGCUGACUGAAGAAACCGCUGUCUUACCCCUGUUUUCACGGUCUGACCUGCAGAGUAGCAGCUUGUAGGUCCCCAUGAUGCUUUGCAGCUUCCCAUGGUUUCCCUGGUUGUGAAUUUGAGCUGCCCUUUUUCACAUACAGAGAUGUGUUCUUGUCCUUCAAGGCAAAAGCCCUGAAGACCUUGACUAUCGGGAGUCCGCCAGUUUGAAGAACAAUAAAGAGCAGCAAAUCGCCACCCAUGGUCAGGACAACAGCAGCUCCCACCCGGGGUCCCCGACUCAGACAUGAUCAGUUCCCUUGACAGGAGACUACAAAUGCUGGCAUUGUCAGCAAACAAGAAGACUUUCAAGGCUUCAGAUGGGCUGCUUUCCCUCCAGAAAUUAUACCAUAACUUCUCUUUAUGUUAUUAAUAAUGAUAAAUGCUAACAUAUUGAUAUGAAGUGAUGCUACAUCAUUGAUAUGUAUAUAUGAAAAUAUCUCAUUCAGUCUUUACAACACCCCGAGGAAGAAA
Molecule: long non-coding RNA, 1177 nt
Organism: Manis pentadactyla (Chinese pangolin)
Lineage: Eukaryota; Metazoa; Chordata; Mammalia; Pholidota; Manidae
Exons: 3
Source: RefSeq, a predicted model, not a curated record